RNAcentral lists this ribosomal RNA (1542 nucleotides) under metagenome. Its description in RNAcentral is "bacterial SSU rRNA". It matches the Rfam family "Bacterial small subunit ribosomal RNA". The record is from RNAcentral.
AGAGUUUGAUCCUGGCUCAGAUUGAACGCUGGCGGCACGCUUAACACAUGCAAGUCGGACGAGUGAGUAGAUUUGGGAUUUAUUCCAGAUUUACAAGCUAGUGGCGGACGGGUGAGUAAUGCGUAGGAACCUGCCCUGAAGAGGGGGAUAACCCGGGGAAACUCGGGCUAAAACCGCAUAAUCUCUAAGGAGCAAAGCUGCCUUACCAACUUAAUAUAUUUGGUUAAGAUAUAUUAAGUGGUAAGGUGGUACUUUAGGAGGGGCCUACGUUGGAUUAGCUUGUUGGUAGGGUAAAGGCCUACCAAGGCGAUGAUCUAUAGCUGGUCUGAGAGGAUGAUCAGCCACACUGGGACUGAGACACGGCCCAGACUCCUACGGGAGGCAGCAGUGGGGAAUAUUGGACAAUGGGGGCAACCCUGAUCCAGCGAUGCCGCGUGUGUGAAGAAGGCCUGCGGGUUGUAAAGCACUUUUAAUGGUGAGGAAGUGGGCGCUAUAAAUAGUAGCGCCUAAUGACGUUAGCCAUAGAAUAAGCACCGGCAAACUCUGUGCCAGCAGCCGCGGUAAUACAGAGGGUGCGAGCGUUAAUCGGAAUGACUGGGCGUAAAGGGCACGUAGGCGGUUUAUCAAGUUAGAUGUGAAAUACCAGGGCUUAACCUUGGGGCUGCAUCUAAGACUGAUAAACUAGAGUUCACUAGAGGGGAGUGGAAUUUCCGGUGUAGCGGUGAAAUGCGUAGAUAUCGGAAGGAACACCAGUGGCGAAGGCGACUCUCUGGAGUUGAACUGAUGCUGAGGAGCGAAAGCGUGGGGAGCGAACAGGAUUAGAUACCCUGGUAGUCCACGCUGUAAACGAUGAGAACUAGCUGUUGGUACGCGACGACGUAUAAGUAGCGCAGUUAACGCGAUAAGUUCUCCGCCUGGGGAUUACGGCCGCAAGGCUAAAACUCAAAGGAAUUGACGGGGGCCCGCACAAGCGGUGGAGCAUGUGGUUUAAUUCGAUGCAACGCGAAGAACCUUACCUACUUUUGACAUCUAUGGGAUCCUGUAGAGAUAUUGGAGUGCCAGAAAUGGAGCCAUAAGACAGGUGCUGCAUGGCUGUCGUCAGCUCGUGUCGUGAGAUGUUGGGUUAAGUCCCGUAACGAGCGCAACCCCUAUCCUUAGUUGCCAGCGCGUAAUGGCGGGGACUCUAAGGAGACUGCUGGUGAUAAGCCGGAGGAAGGUGGGGACGACGUCAAGUCAUCAUGGCCUUUAUAAGUAGGGCUACACACGUGCUACAAUGGGCAGUACAGAGGGAGGCGAAGCCGUAAGGUGGAGCGGAACUCAGAAAGCUGUUCGUAGUCCGGAUUGGAGUCUGCAACUCGACUUCAUGAAGUUGGAAUCGCUAGUAAUCGCGAAUCAGAAUGUCGCGGUGAAUACGUUCCCGGGCCUUGUACACACCGCCCGUCACACCAUGGGAGUGGGUUGUACCAGAAGUGGUUAGUCUAACCUUCGGGAAGGCGAUCACCACGGUAUGAUUCGUGACUGGGGUGAAGUCGUAACAAGGUA